Molecule: small nucleolar RNA, 66 nt
Organism: Dicentrarchus labrax (European seabass)
Lineage: Eukaryota; Metazoa; Chordata; Actinopteri; Moronidae
Source: RefSeq, a predicted model, not a curated record
UGUGAAUGAUGACAAAUCUUUCCCUGACAACACUGAGGGCACAAACUGAUUUAAUGAGCCUGACGC